Molecule: ribosomal RNA, 429 nt
Filed under: Actinomycetes bacterium
Lineage: Bacteria; Bacillati; Actinomycetota; Actinomycetes
Description: Actinobacteria bacterium partial 16S ribosomal RNA
Rfam family: Bacterial small subunit ribosomal RNA
Source: RNAcentral
UAGGGAAUCUUCCGCAAUGGGCGAAAGCCUGACGGAGCAACGCCGCGUGAGUGAUGAAGGUCUUCGGAUCGUAAAACUCUGUUAUUAGGGAAGAACAAAUGUGUAAGUAACUAUGCACGUCUUGACGGUACCUAAUCAGAAAGCCACGGCUAACUACGUGCCAGCAGCCGCGGUAAUACGUAGGUGGCAAGCGUUAUCCGGAAUUAUUGGGCGUAAAGCGGGCGUAGGCGGUUUUUUAAGUCUGAUGUGAAAGCCAACGGCUCAACCGUGGAGGGGCAUUGGAAACUGGAAAACUUGAGUGCAGAAGAGGAAAGUGGAAUUCCAUGUGUAGCGGUGAAAUGCGCAGAGAUAUGGAGGAACACCAGUGGCGAAGGCGACUUUCUGGUCUGUAACUGACGCUGAUGUGCGAAAGCGUGGGGAUCAAACAGG